GCCGCCUUAGCUCAGUUGGUAGAGCAACUCUUUUGUAAAGAGAAGGUCCCCAGUUCAAAUCUGGGAGGCGGCUCCA
Molecule: transfer RNA, 76 nt
Filed under: Candidatus Adlerbacteria bacterium RIFOXYB1_FULL_48_10
Lineage: Bacteria; Candidatus Adleribacteriota
Also listed under: 7 other names
Description: tRNA-Thr
Rfam family: tRNA
About the family: Transfer RNA (tRNA) molecules are approximately 80 nucleotides in length. Their secondary structure includes four short double-helical elements and three loops (D, anti-codon, and T loops). Further hydrogen bonds mediate the characteristic L-shaped molecular structure. tRNAs have two regions of fundamental functional importance: the anti-codon, which is responsible for specific mRNA codon recognition, and the 3' end, to which the tRNAs corresponding amino acid is attached (by aminoacyl-tRNA synthetases). tRNAs cope with the degeneracy of the genetic code in two manners: having more than one tRNA (with a specific anti-codon) for a particular amino acid; and 'wobble' base-pairing, i.e. permitting non-standard base-pairing at the 3rd anti-codon position.
Source: RNAcentral